AAGCAAAGCUGGGGGCUGCGGCUGCGUCCUGCCCUGCCCUGGGCUGUGGCCCGCCCGAAGCCCCACCACGGUGCUGGCGCAGGCCAAAACUCGUUUUUCAGAACAGACUCUUAAUGGACAUAGCAUACAUGAACACCAUCUGGGUUAAGGUGACACCCCAGACAGUUUGGCAUCAGCACUGCCUAGCCUGCUUGAUGGCCCAUUAAGGACCAUCAGCUGUACAACUGACCCACUGAGAGAAAGCAGAUACACCUUAUGAUCCAGCAAGGCAUGCAGGGGCAUGCCUACGAAGAGGACUCUAAGGCUUUCAAGCCAUGUGCUGGAAGCUUGUAUCUGGAACAAAGGAAGCACAGGCCACAUAGCAAGAGACUAUAAAAGGCAGCUGCAUCUCCUCCAUCUUGUCUUCAGUCCUGCUUCUUACCUCUGGAGUCACUUUGCUACAAACUGAAGCUCUGAACAAAGGACUGAAUGACCCAUCCAAGCUGUGGAUGUAGUCCAGAGACUUGAUUUGAGCCUGCAGUUUAUUCCAUCACUGCUACAAGUCUGAACCAAGAACUUUGCCAUUGCUGUAUGUAAUUGAUUACUUCGACCA
Molecule: long non-coding RNA, 592 nt
Organism: Caretta caretta (loggerhead turtle)
Lineage: Eukaryota; Metazoa; Chordata; Testudines; Cheloniidae
Source: RefSeq, a predicted model, not a curated record